UGGAAAACGUACUCCCCGUGGAGGAAAGUUUGGCAACGUCUGUCAGAAUGAAAUUGUACUGCUAGAUGUUUAUCCUACAGAUAUUUGUAUACAGAUGGGAAGUGAUAUAUAUAUAAAAUGGUCUUCACUGAAACGUUGCUUACAAUAGCAAAAGAUUACAAACAGUACAACUGCCCAUCAAUAUGGAGACCGGAAAUAAACUGGAGCACAAUACGCAGACAUAAAAAUAAAUGCGGGAGAUCUUGGUGUACUAACGUAAUUAAGUUGGACCAUAUAAAAUUGGCAAAAUUUGACCAUUUUUUAUGUAAGAAAAUGGCCAUUUCCUAGGCCUAACCUACUAAAAAAGAACAAUCUUACAUGUCUAAGUGAAGAAAACAGUGUGCAGAAGAAUGGAAGUACUAUGCUACUUCCUGUGUAAAAGAGGGGAAAUAAAUCUGUGUGUGUGUGUGUGUGUGUGUGUGUGCUGUUCCUGAAUAAUAUUUUGGAAACAUAAAUAAGGAACUAGGUUGUAGGGCAUAAAACAGGGUUUAGAAACAGGGAAGAAAGACAGUCUUUUAUAACAUGUGCUUUUAAAUCAUGUGAGUAUACGGCUCAUUACACUUAUGUUAAAAUUGUUUAGAAAUCACACAGAGGGUCAGUCUAGUAUAAGGUGCAGGACACUGUCCCAGCACUGGCUUCUGCACUUCACCCACUCGUGGUUUCACUUUCUCUUCUCAUCCUGAGCUACGGUGAUGUGCAACGAGAGAGAAAAUGCAUACACUCCGUUGCCUGGAUGGUAGAGUGGAGAAAGCAGAGCACCACGUCAUGAAAAUGUGAUGUCUGGAGUGGUGAGCAAAGAUCUUCAUGGUUUUCAGAAUGUGACUGUGCUGUCAUUAAUGAGGAAUAGAGUCUAUGGUUUCAUGGAAAUAUAAUUCAUGAGGAUAUAGUACUUAUGGUUGGUGAAAACCGUCUCCAGACAAUGAACAACUGGAAGGAUGAGUAAAACAGCCCAGAAGCACGACUGUACGUGGCAGUCAGGCUGCAUGGAAAAAGAAAUGAACUGACGAAAUCAACGCCCUGCUAAUAUUUAGAAGUUACACUGUCCUUGAACUGGGGAGUGAAUGCUGUUCUUCCGACAUGCACAUCCUUUUCCAUAGCUGGUAAUAAAGGCAUUUUUAAAGCACACAAUGAUUAUUCCAAAAUUGUCAGUAGCU
Molecule: long non-coding RNA, 1193 nt
Organism: Tupaia belangeri chinensis (Chinese tree shrew)
Lineage: Eukaryota; Metazoa; Chordata; Mammalia; Scandentia; Tupaiidae
Exons: 3
Source: RefSeq, a predicted model, not a curated record